AAAGUGCGACAAGUGUCAUGACUUGCAGAUACCCGAGAGCUGACAAAUUUCUGAAUGCAAAUUGCAGCCAAGUUAACCUGGCUAUGUAUUGCAGAGAGUACUUCGCUUAUGCGCGCCAUCCAGGGGUGGUUCCAUUCCCCCUUGGGCUAUGUGCAGGCAUCUUCUUGCUUGCUGAGCAUUGUGCCACUCCAACCUUCGCGGUCGGAUCAAAGGCCAACUCAAAUUAAAGAUAGAAAACCAUCGAGUUUUCCCGGACAAUAUAUGAGAUAAUUGAGUUCACUCUCAAUUACUUCUCACCAUUCACCUCUGCAAUGCAGGAGAACCCGCUGAACUUAA
Molecule: unclassified non-coding RNA, 336 nt
Filed under: uncultured fungus
Lineage: Eukaryota; Fungi
Description: sequence contains ITS1
Rfam family: 5.8S ribosomal RNA (bases 1-101)
Source: RNAcentral